CAAUAGCGUAUAUUAAAGUUGUUGCAGUUAAAAAGCUCGUAGUUGGAUUUCUGGUGGGAGCGAUCGGUCUGGCGCUUAGCGCGAGUACUUGCAUCGUCUCCGGCCAUCCUUGGGGAGAGUCUGUCUGGCAUUAAGUUGUCGGGCAGAGGAUCCUCAUCGUUUACUGUGAAAAAAUUAGAGUGUUCAAAGCAGGCUUAUGCCGUUGAAUAUAUUAGCAUGGAAUAAUAAGAUAGGACUUUGGUACUAUUUUGUUGGUUUGCGCGCCAAAGUAAUGAUUAAUAGGGACAGUUGGGGGUAUUCGUAUUCCGUUGUCAGAGGUGAAAUUCUUGGAUUUACGGAAGACGAACUACUGCGAAAGCAUUUACCAAGGAUGUUUUCAUUAA
This 383-nucleotide ribosomal RNA is filed under the name uncultured eukaryote. Its description in RNAcentral is "partial 18S ribosomal RNA". It matches the Rfam family "Eukaryotic small subunit ribosomal RNA", at positions 592 to 976 of the family's 1831-position model. The record is from RNAcentral.